UUCAUCUAGGCGGCUAACAAAAGAAAUGGGGUAAACCAAAUUCACUUGCCAAAAGCCUAACCAUCGCCCCCAAAAAGAAUCAUUCUCUAAAAACCCUAACUAUCGCCACCAAAAGCCGUCGGCCGGCAUCUUCGAGCUCCGCUCAGCUGUUGAGAUCGCCCUCACCUCUGUAAUUGAUCCUCACUUGCCAACUCUUGUGAGAUUUACCUCACUCGACAUCAAAACCUAAAUCGUCCUUUUCGGAAGCCCUAGCAACCCCGGCCACAAAUCUGAGCUUCACCGGCUACCUUCAUCGCAACUCCGACUGAUAUUAUACAUUAAACAUCCAGAUGUUGAGAGAUGUUCAUGCCCAAAACUCUUCUGUUCCAUGGAACUUCUAUUCCCAACUAUAAGAUGUAACAUUUAUAUUAGAUAACAGAGAAGGCAACAUGUAAACAUCCAACAGAAGAAAAAAGUGAUCCUGAGGACGGAGGAAAAAAUUACUCUGUGAUAAUUACUUCUAUUGGUUUUUGUUUGCAUAUUACCUGUGAUAAUUACUUAUACUCUGUGAUAGUUACUAAUUUCCUAUGAUACGUGCAUGUUUCAUGUGAUAUUUACAUAUUUCCUGUGAUACUUCCUUAUUAUUUGUGACAGUUGACUCUUUCUUGUGAUAUUUGUUUAUCUACUGUGACAGUUACCUUAUUUCUGUGACUAAAGCAAUAUGCAUGUGACAUUUGCUCAUCAUUUAUGAUACAUGAAUUUUGCCUGUGACAUUUUCUCAUAUCCUGUGACCCUUAAUAAUUUUCUGUGUCAUACACUCAUUAACUGUGAUCUUAUGUGAAAGUAACUGAUGAAGUUAUUGAAAAGAAAAAGGAAAGAAAAAGAAGGAAGGAAAUAAGAUGAAACAUUGAAAGAAUUUAUUCAGGGACAUACAUGCAUAUUUCUAAAUCAAUGCAAUCCUAGAAGGAAAGGAGGUCAUAGACAUUGAAGCUUUACAAAGGGAGACUGAAAUGUUAAGGGCAAGACUUGCUACUCAAAUUAUAUGUGAGAGCCGAGAAUUAAAGAAGCUGGGACUAAAGUAAGAUGUAGAUGAUCCAGAAUAUCUUUUAUAUUUUGUGUGUAAUGAUAUUUUGCCAUUGAUUGAGUGGAAGUAUUAGAUAAACAUGUAUAACAUAAUUUUUUGUUGGAUAUGACUAAUCCUUUUGUAAAUUUUGAGACUUAUGGUGACAAUGAUGAAAUAUGCAUUUGUGAUUAA
Asparagus officinalis (garden asparagus) is the source of this 1234-nucleotide long non-coding RNA. RefSeq lists it as uncharacterized. The record is from RefSeq and is a predicted model, not a curated record. The transcript has 2 exons. NCBI's taxonomy places the organism in Eukaryota, Viridiplantae, Streptophyta, Magnoliopsida, Asparagales, Asparagaceae.